This is a long non-coding RNA of Eptesicus fuscus (big brown bat), 329 nucleotides long. RefSeq lists it as uncharacterized. The record is from RefSeq and is a predicted model, not a curated record. Lineage: Eukaryota; Metazoa; Chordata; Mammalia; Chiroptera; Vespertilionidae. The transcript is spliced from 3 exons.
AAAACAUCGCGCACAUGAUCCUCUAUUCUCCUUACCAUGUUGGUGGCAAUCUUGGAAGUCAUAUGUUUAAGCUGGAGGAGCCACAAGAGAGAAGGAGGCUGGGUUCCUGGAAGAGAAAACUGCUCAACAGGAACACCCAUUUUGGAUUUGAAAUGCACUUCAACUUGGACACAGAAGAUUAUCUGGUGCCAAGUAUUUGCUGAUUACUGUGUAUAAAAAAGUCAAAUGCACCUUUGAGCUUUGGAUGGUGUCUCCAUAGGAAACCCGAUGUAACCUCCCGAGGCUCCAAAGCUUUUGGUGAAUGUGCCCAUAAACACAUCGACAUCUUG